RNAcentral lists this ribosomal RNA (523 nucleotides) under uncultured bacterium. RNAcentral describes it as "bacterial SSU rRNA". It matches the Rfam family "Bacterial small subunit ribosomal RNA", at positions 774 to 1302 of the family's 1533-position model. The record is from RNAcentral.
AGUGAAUAGAUACCCUGGUAGUCCACGCCGUAAACGAUGGAUACUAGCUGUUCGGAGCAAAUCUGAGUGGCUAAAGCGAAAGUGAUAAGUAUCCCACCUGGGGAGUACGCACGCAAGUGUGAAACUCAAAGGAAUUGACGGGGGCCCGCACAAGCGGUGGAGCAUGUGGUUUAAUUCGAUGAUACGCGAGGAACCUUACCAGGGCUUAAAUGUAGAUUGACAGGACUGGAAACAGUUUUUCUUCGGACAAUUUACAAGGUGCUGCAUGGUUGUCGUCAGCUCGUGCCGUGAGGUGUCAGGUUAAGUCCUAUAACGAGCGCAACCCCUGUCGUUAGUUGCCAGCGAGUCAUGUCGGGAACUCUAACGAGACUGCCAGUGUAAACCUGUGAGGAAGGUGGGGAUGACGUCAAAUCAUCACGGCCCUUACGUCCUGGGCCACACACGUGCUACAAUGGUAGGUACAGAGAGCAGCCACUGCGCGAGCAGGAGCGAAUCUACAAAACCUAUCUCAGUUCGGAUCGGA